Molecule: ribosomal RNA, 459 nt
Filed under: uncultured bacterium
Lineage: Bacteria
Description: partial 16S ribosomal RNA
Rfam family: Bacterial small subunit ribosomal RNA
Source: RNAcentral
CCUACGGGAGGCUGCAGUGAGGAAUAUUGGUCAAUGGGCGAGAGCCUGAACCAGCCAAGUCGCGUGAGGGAAGACGGUCCUAUGGAUUGUAAACCUCUUUUGCCGGGGAGCAAAAAGCGGUACGUGUACCGCAUCGAGAGUACCCGGAGAAAAAGCAUCGGCUAACUCCGUGCCAGCAGCCGCGGUAAUACGGAGGAUGCGAGCGUUAUCCGGAUUUAUUGGGUUUAAAGGGUGCGCAGGCGGCGAGUUAAGUCAGCGGUAAAAUUUCGGGGCUCAACCCCGACAAGCCGUUGAAACUGGCGUGCUAGAGUGGGCGAGAAGUAUGUGGAAUGCGUGGUGUAGCGGUGAAAUGCAUAGAUAUCACGCAGAACUCCGAUUGCGAAGGCAGCAUACCGGCGCCCAACUGACGCUCAGGCACGAAAGCGUGGGUAUCGAACAGGAUUAGAUACCCCAGUAGUC